UGGGGAAUAUUGGACAAUGGGCGAAAGCCUGAUCCAGCCAUGCCGCGUGUGUGAAGAAGGCCUUAUGGUUGUAAAGCACUUUAAGUGGGGAGGAAAAGCUUAUGGAUAAUACCCAUAGGUUCUGACGUUACCCACAGAAUAAGCACCGGCUAACUCUGUGCCAGCAGCCGCGGUAAUACAGAGGGUGCGAGCGUUAAUCGGAAUUACUGGGCGUAAAGCGAGCGUAGGUGGUUUAUUAAGUCAGAUGUGAAAUCCCUGGGCUUAACCUAGGAACUGCAUCUGAUACUGAUAAACUAGAGUAGGUGAGAGGAAAGUAGAAUUCCAGGUGUAGCGGUGAAAUGCGUAGAUAUCUGGAGGAAUACCGAUGGCGAAGGCAGCUUUCUGGCAUCAUACUGACACUGAGGUUCGAAAGCGUGGGUAGCAAACAGGAUUAGAUACCCUGGUAGUCCACGCCGUAAACGAUGUCUACCAGUCGUUGGGUCUUUUAAAGACUUAGUGACGCAGUUAACGCAAUAAGUAGACCGCCUGGGGAGUGCGGCCGCAAGGUUA
This 549-nucleotide ribosomal RNA is filed under the name uncultured bacterium. RNAcentral's name for it is "bacterial SSU rRNA". It matches the Rfam family "Bacterial small subunit ribosomal RNA", at positions 355 to 896 of the family's 1533-position model. The record is from RNAcentral.